Molecule: ribosomal RNA, 483 nt
Filed under: uncultured bacterium
Lineage: Bacteria
Description: bacterial SSU rRNA
Rfam family: Bacterial small subunit ribosomal RNA
Source: RNAcentral
GAUGAACGCUAGCGGCAGGCUUAACACAUGCAAGUCGAGGGGUAGUUACUUUCGGGUAAUGAGACCGGCGCACGGGUGCGUAACGCGUAUGCAAUCUACCUUUUACAGGGGAAUAGCCCAGAGAAAUUUGGAUUAAUGCCCCAUAGUAUGUAUGAAUCGCAUGGUUUAUACCAUUAAAGUUCCAACGGUAAAGAUGAGCAUGCGUCCCAUUAGCUAGUUGGUAAGGUAACGGCUUACCAAGGCGACGAUGGGUAGGGGUCCUGAGAGGGAGAUCCCCCACACUGGUACUGAGACACGGACCAGACUCCUACGGGAGGCAGCAGUGAGGAAUAUUGGACAAUGGGCGCAAGCCUGAUCCAGCCAUGCCGCGUGCAGGAUGAAGCAUCUAUGGUGUGUAAACUGCUUUUGUACGAGAAGAAACACUCCAACGUGUUGGAGCUUGACGGUAUCGUAAGAAUAAGGAUCGGCUAACUCCGUGCCAGC